UGAAUGGCUUUUUAAACUUUAUA
RNAcentral lists this small nuclear RNA (23 nucleotides) under Arabidopsis thaliana (thale cress). Its description in RNAcentral is "snRNA_14205". Lineage: Eukaryota; Viridiplantae; Streptophyta; Magnoliopsida; Brassicales; Brassicaceae. The record is from RNAcentral.